This 322-nucleotide ribosomal RNA is filed under the name uncultured bacterium. RNAcentral describes it as "bacterial SSU rRNA". It matches the Rfam family "Bacterial small subunit ribosomal RNA", at positions 30 to 353 of the family's 1533-position model. The record is from RNAcentral.
AUUGAACGCUGGCGGCAGGCCUAACACAUGCAAGUCGAGCGGUAGAGAGGUGCUUGCAUCUCUUGAGAGCGGCGGACGGGUGAGUAAUGCCUAGGAAUCUGCCUAGUGGUGGGGGAUAACGUUCGGAAACGGACGCUAAUACCGCAUACGUCCUACGGGAGAAAGCGGGGGAUCUUCGGACCUCGCGCCAUUAGAUGAGCCUAGGUCGGAUUAGCUAGUUGGUGAGGUAAUGGCUCACCAAGGCGACGAUCCGUAACUGGUCUGAGAGGAUGAUCAGUCACACUGGAACUGAGACACGGUCCAGACUCCUAGGGAGGCAGCA